UCAUAAACUGUCUUUAGCUGGGGCUUUCUACACUUUGAUAUAGACCAUGCUAUAUACAUCAACAAUAUGGCAAUGGCAAUUAGGGAUACAAGUGUGGAGGAGUCAUCACUAAUAAUAGUGGUUAUCCAAUCUGGGUGCCGCAUGUCAAAUGCGGCAGUGCUCUGCAAGAUGAAAGCUCCCAAUGCCCAAUCAAGAGGGAUGUUUCCAACCUGAUUGGCGUAUCCAAUCCUUUCAUCAUCCAAUGCAAUU
This 249-nucleotide unclassified non-coding RNA is filed under the name Hevea brasiliensis (rubber tree). The record is from RNAcentral. Lineage: Eukaryota; Viridiplantae; Streptophyta; Magnoliopsida; Malpighiales; Euphorbiaceae.